This 819-nucleotide ribosomal RNA is filed under the name Triticum aestivum (bread wheat). Its description in RNAcentral is "partial small subunit ribosomal RNA". The record is from RNAcentral. Lineage: Eukaryota; Viridiplantae; Streptophyta; Magnoliopsida; Poales; Poaceae.
AUGAAGCUUCUUCCGGCCGCCCUCGGCCUCGUCGUCCUCCUCAUCCUCGUUCUAAAUCUCAAUAGUGUGGAGGCCCGGCCAGCCCCUGCCGGCGGCCAUCAGAACAAGUCGUCCAGCAACACCUUCUUCGUCUUCGGGGACGACUUCGCCGACAACGGGAACCUCCCACCGAACCCGUCACCAAGAUGUCGCGGCAAUGGGCCUACCCCUACGGCUCCGUGUAUACCGAUGCCCAUGGGUUUCCGCGACCAAAUACUCCGUCUGGCCGCUUCUCCAACUGCAAAAUCCAGUCAGAUUUCAUUGAUUAAUGCUUAUAUUGGAAAGGUGACAAAAGAGGUUGCGGCUAAUGUGGAGCAAUUGUUGAAGCUCGGGGUGAAAAAAGUUCUUGUCAACAACUUGCACCCUAUCGGUUGCACGCCGUCACAAACCCGAACCAAUAACUACACCGCGUGCGAUAUUUUUGGAAAUUUGGGUGCAUCAAUUCACAACGAUAACCUGAAACAAGUCAUGACAGUAAAGAAGAAUGUCCAGAUCAUCGACCUAUACACCUCAUUUACUAGUAUUGUGGAUCAUGCGCCAGGUAAAGGCUCGGAUCUAUCUAAGCAAUUCAAGCGCAAACUGUCGCCCUGUUGCGAGAGUUUGGAUUCGAAUGGCUAUUGCGGACAACAAGGCGAGUCGUCCUCAGAGCUUCUAUACACCGUGUGCGACAAGUCCGACAAAUUUUUCUAUUGGGACGACAUGCACCCCACACAUGCAGGAUGGGAGGCUAUCAUGAAACAGUUGGAAAAGCCCUUGAAGGAGUUUGUAGAUCAAGAGUAG